AUACGGAGGGUGCAAGCGUUACUCGGAAUCACUGGGCGUAAAGCGCGCGCAGGCGGCCUGAUAAGUUGGAUGUGAAAGCCUACGGCUCAACCGUAGAACUGCAUCCAAAACUGUCAGGCUAGAGUGUGCGAGAGGAAGAUGGAAUUAGUUGUGUAGGGGUAAAAUCCGUAGAGAUAACUAGGAAUACCAAAAGCGAAGGCAAUCUUCUGGAACACUACUGACGCUGAGGCGCGAAGGCGUGGGGAGCAAACAGAAUUAGAAACCCCAGUAGUCC
This 274-nucleotide ribosomal RNA is filed under the name uncultured bacterium. Its description in RNAcentral is "partial 16S ribosomal RNA". It matches the Rfam family "Bacterial small subunit ribosomal RNA", at positions 523 to 796 of the family's 1533-position model. The record is from RNAcentral.